Molecule: long non-coding RNA, 381 nt
Filed under: Hordeum vulgare
Lineage: Eukaryota; Viridiplantae; Streptophyta; Magnoliopsida; Poales; Poaceae
Description: long non-coding RNA (HVUL_LNC013078)
Source: RNAcentral
GAAGAUGCAGAGGAUGGUGGGAACAUCGGGAGGGGGUGACGGAAGGGAAAGGGAGGGAAAAGGCAGAAACAGCGAGAAAGUCGGCCAAUGUCGCCGACAGUGCGUCCCCACGCUUCAGCCUGGGUCCGUCGACGCUAAUUUUCGCCCAAGGCGGCAAAAAACAAGGUUCUGAGGGUGCGACUUGGGGAUUAUAAAAGCGUCGGUGAUAAAAAAUGGCUUGAGGGGGCGUGUUGGGGACGCGUCUGGAGAUGCCCUUAGGCAAUGAACUCAAGUCCGGCAGGUAAGAGUGAUGAAGGAAAUUGUUUGGCAUGAGGUGUGAAAAUUGAUUCAUACGCUGCUUUUCGCCCUGCAUACCAAAUUGACCAAAGGGUUACAGCUAUU